Molecule: long non-coding RNA, 426 nt
Filed under: Elaeis guineensis (African oil palm)
Lineage: Eukaryota; Viridiplantae; Streptophyta; Magnoliopsida; Arecales; Arecaceae
Description: long non-coding RNA (EGUI_LNC058355)
Source: RNAcentral
UCCUCCAUUUUUGACAGGACCAAGGGGUGCCAACCCCUGGAUAAUGUUAGAGGGGCCCGCCCCCUCUUGUGGCAUGGCAUGGAGGGGAGAGAGAGAGGAGCCAUGCCCCCUCUCUUGAAUGAAAACCUUAGAAUGGGGUGCCAAGGGUUGGCUCCCCAACCACUUGCCCUAUAAUGCAUGGGGCGCCCACUCAGAUUGCCUUGCGCCCCAUAUGCUUACCAAAAGAGAUUGAUAUCCUACCAAUUAAGUCUGAUUUUAGUAGAAAAAAAUUAAACUAAAAAGGUAGAAAUCAUUAUGAGAUAUGGAUGUACCUUUUUAAGUUAAUUGAAUUCCUGAUUUGAAUCAAUGAAGGACUUAUAUAAAGAAAAGAUCUCUUAGGGUUUCAGAAGUCAAAGUUUUAUUGAUUAAAAAUCAGAUCUCUAUCCC